UUUAUACGUCGAAUUUUGGUCGCGUCGAAUGCAAUUAAGACAAUAGAUGAUGAGAUGAUAAACCUCAUUAAGCUUCAUUAUCUAUUGUUUGAAUUGCAUUCGACGCGACCGAAAUUCGACGUAUAAA
This 127-nucleotide microRNA precursor is filed under the name Paramuricea clavata. The record is from RNAcentral. Lineage: Eukaryota; Metazoa; Cnidaria; Anthozoa; Malacalcyonacea; Plexauridae.